Bombus huntii is the source of this 1398-nucleotide long non-coding RNA. RefSeq lists it as uncharacterized. The transcript is spliced from 2 exons. The record is from RefSeq and is a predicted model, not a curated record. NCBI's taxonomy places the organism in Eukaryota, Metazoa, Arthropoda, Insecta, Hymenoptera, Apidae.
AGACAAGAGAAAAAAAGGGAACAUUAAUAGCUUGUUUUGUGUCAUAGGAAUUUCAAUUGUAGGUCAUUGGAGAAAACAUGAUAACAUGGGAUUGAUCGAUAACUUAAUAAAUUUGGAAGUACUUCCUUAUAAAAAAUAGCAGAUGCGAUAUAUUAUGCUCUUCUCUUGUAAUCUUUAAUUAUUACGAGAAUCGUUUUUUGAGAGAGGAAUGAAAUGGAGUGAAUGGAGAAUUUAAUCCUAUGUUCAUAUUCAAUAUUCAACGAAUCAAUAUCGUAAAAACCUAGUCCUAUGGAAACUCGAGAAAGCGUGAAACCGAUAGUAAAAGACAAGUACUUGUGUUCUUCUGUUUUUAAUUUGUAUAUGCAACUCAAUGUAAUUUAGAUGUAGUAUUUAUAUCAUCGAAUCAUGCAUGUACAGGGAGUUCCAAUAAUGAUUACAUUUUAACAUCUUCGCUAUAAAAUAAGGAGCAAAAAGAAGAAAAAUAUUCUGAUAUUUUACAAUGUAGAUGACUUCUUGAACAACUUUAGGAAAUUUAUAUCUAUGGAGAUCGUUUAUAGCUUCCAUAAACAGGUAAAUGAAGCCUUGUGAAAAAGUAUUCUAAAUUCCCAGUAAAUAAUUUUGUUUUAGAAUUUUCAGUUUAUCAAGAAAUUUUGACGUAUGGCCAUAAACUAAUUUUAUUAAAUAACUAAAUAAUUUUGCUUGAAUCUUUCCAGUUUGCCAAGAAAUUUUGACGAAUAGCCAUAAUUAUUGAACCACCCUGUAGAUGCAUUAUUCGCCAUGGAAAGGUCUACUUCUCCAAAUGAACUUUCCCUCGAACAAUAGUAUCGAACAAAGGGGACUACGAAACAGUUCUGGAAACGAGUUUUUACUUGGUUUGCAACCUUGCUCCGCUUUGAUUCUUCGAUCGCCUCCCUCUUUUAUUCGACACGUCAGAGGCUGCCUCAAUGAUUCAUCCACCUCACGCCUCUUCUACCCUCCCCUUGGAAAGGGCGAGUCGACACGCGACAUCACGUAUCAUUUCCUUAUCCACAAGUAUUCAAUGAUAAUUUCAUUCACUGUUAAAUAAUUUUUAUUAUUUAUACAUGUACCUAUAUGUAGAAGUUCAUAUACAGUGGUUGUAAGAAGUAUUUAUACGUCAUUAAUAUAUAUUAUAGUAUAUAAUAAAUAAAUACUAUUAUACUAUAUAUUAUAAUAUUUAUUAUGGUAUUAAAUAUUUAGUAUUUAUCGCAGCAUUCACAUGCUAAUUAAUUAGGCCCAAGUACGUUAAAUCUCGUACUAUUCAGUAUUCUUUUCACAUGACUAUAAAAAUUUGAUACCAUGAAAACGAAACGCAUAGAAUGUGGUAAAAAGACGCUUCGUUAGAAAAUAAGGGUAUGUUCAAAUAAUUUUUGCAGCCAC